AUUGAUUCAGUAGUAACACAGUAGUCAGUCCACAGCCUGCCUGCCUGCAGAGAGAGAGCCAAAACAGGAAGAGAGAAAGAGAGGACAUAAGGAGAGAGGAAAAGAGAGUGAUUGUGAGAGAAGCAGGGAAAGCGUCCAGCCAUCUGUCUGUCUCCAGUCUGAAAGCCACAGCCGCCCUCUUUGUUUGGCGUCCCUGAUAUGACCCUGUUUAAAAGUGAGCACCACCGCAGCCCACGAUACAUUAGCAUGAGUGGAGAGCUGAAGUCCAGCCGUUCCAGGACCGGCAGCAAGAGACCCAGCAGCAAUCCAUACGGAUCUGACUAUGACCUGGACUAUGAGUGCUAUCAGGAGGACCUCUAUGACAGG
This is a long non-coding RNA of Salvelinus namaycush (lake trout), 366 nucleotides long. RefSeq lists it as uncharacterized. The transcript has 3 exons. The record is from RefSeq and is a predicted model, not a curated record. Lineage: Eukaryota; Metazoa; Chordata; Actinopteri; Salmoniformes; Salmonidae.